CUCCCCUUCCUCCUCCUCUUCCUCUUUUUCUUCCUCUUCCUCUGGCUCCUUUUGGUUGGAUCUUUGUUUAAUUUUGGUCUCAGGGUAAAAAUUGAGUUCAUAAAAAAAAUUUUGAAGUUGGGACACUUUAAAUUACUGCUUAUAUUUCAUUGGUUAUGUGUCUUGUGUAAAUUAUUUGCUUCAUCUUGAUU
This 191-nucleotide microRNA precursor is filed under the name Mus pahari (shrew mouse). RNAcentral describes it as "miRNA (MGP_PahariEiJ_G0007755.1)". Lineage: Eukaryota; Metazoa; Chordata; Mammalia; Rodentia; Muridae. The record is from RNAcentral.